Molecule: long non-coding RNA, 411 nt
Organism: Manis javanica (Malayan pangolin)
Lineage: Eukaryota; Metazoa; Chordata; Mammalia; Pholidota; Manidae
Source: RefSeq, a predicted model, not a curated record
UAAAUUGCAAAUUGCUCUGACUCUGAACACUUAGAAAUUAGUGAUAAGAAUAACAGCAACCUAUGCGAAGACACUGGAAAGCUGUUGAACUCUCCAGAAGCGCCAGGAUCCAAGGAGAAGGGAAGCUCGAAGAGAUGCCACUUCACAUGUGCUGUCACAACUUGUGGCUGGAGAAAUCAGCACAGCCUAUGUGGCUCCCCCGGGAGAGAACUUGGAGGCUUGGGCCUUGUUUCCCCAGACUUCACUUCAUGCGCCCUGCCCUUGGGCUUUGUGUCGUCCCACAGGAAUCAGUCUGAACUAUGGUGAGCCCAGGAUCAGACCAAAAUGAAGAUUUUGCAAAGGAAUUCAACUUUGACCACAGCAUUUUUACUAUCAUCAAACAAAUAAAUAAAUAAAAAGCUCCCUUCAUAA